CUGCUGCGAUGUGGAGCGCCUGGUACUGUACUCGGUUUCAAAGGUCUGCUCUCGGGCUGGGGGUGGGCAAGAGGAUGGGCUAAGGAACGACACGCGGGCUGGUUUUGCCCUAACUCAAGGAGAAAAAAAACAUUAGCUGCUGAAUGCCCCUUGUCUUUCAAGCCUUAGAGCACGUUUAUUUAAAAAAAAUCGACAGUUGCCAGAAGCAUGCUGCCUCUAGUGCCCAGGAAAUGGGGAUUCUUAAGCUUUGUUGCUUACACUGUGGGGUGGGAAUGAGUUGUGACCUCUAGGAAAGAAGGCCGGGAAGGGUCUUCACAUUGUUUUUGCAUUCCCGCAAGGCCGGGACAGUUGCCGCGCCACACCCCCAUCCCCGCCCCACGCUGCAUAUGGGUUACCGUAUGUGAAAUGUACGGCAGCCCCACCAGACACCGGGCUAUUAAUAGAGCCCCGGAGUUUGCUCUGUGUCUUUUUCCUGCCACCGAAUAAGGGAUGAUCACACACACCCCACUCCGCCCCCACCUCGGCGCUCAGUUCCUCCGGGAAGCUUGCAAGUGGCUGAGCUGGGAUUCAACUCCAGGCCUGUCUUCUACAAAGCAACCUUCCCCAGACUGAAGAGCUGCUGCUUUGCAGUUUCUGCAGUCACACUGGCCACACUUGGGUCCUCAAGAAUGAGAAGGAGGC
Molecule: non-coding RNA, 681 nt
Organism: Myodes glareolus (Bank vole)
Lineage: Eukaryota; Metazoa; Chordata; Mammalia; Rodentia; Cricetidae
Source: RefSeq, a predicted model, not a curated record